CCGUGCAUUUAUUCGCCUAGAAAACCAACACGUCUCGGGUUACGCCUGUCAGUAUUUAUAGUCCCUCUAUUCCCUCAAAAGAAUAUGCUCUAUAAAUGCCCAGGAUUUACGAUCCAGACGUUCACGGUGAUUCUGAAUAACUGAUGCUGAUCGUACAGGGCCUAUGUGCCUACGAUAUUUCAAUCAAAUUUCUGCCCUAUCAUAUUUGUUGGUAGGGUAGCGGCCUACCAAGGUGACGACGGGUAACGGGGAAUCAGGGUUCGAUUCCGGAGAGGGAGCCUGAGAAACGGCUACCACAUCCAAGGAUGGCAGCAGGCGCGCAAACUAUCCAAUCCAGACAAUGGGAGAUGGUGACGAGGUAUAUUGGAACUCACCGGCUAUGCCGGUCGAGUUACCAGAUAGACCCUAAUUUAAACCAAUAGCGGGUUAUUCAACGGGAGGGCAAGUCUGGUGCCAGCAGCCGCGGUAAUACCAGCUCCCGUAGUGUAUACGUUAGUUGUUGCGGUUAAAAAGCUCGUAGUUGAAAUACGGCGCGCUCGAAAGAACGUUCAGGAGUGUGGCUCCCAAAAGUGUAGUUUGUAGAGACUUAGAAUUGCGCUCCUUUACAUAUAAGUGUUUUGGUAUGUUGCUCCAAUCAUCUAGUUUGUUCUUGUAAUAAAUUAGUUGAGUAAAGCCUCAUAUUGCUGCAUAUUAUAUGUGAUUGAGAGUUGUCCUUCGUCUCUCUUAUACUCCUGAAAGAUCAUUAGAGCGUGCUUUCUCGUUGGGCCCGCCCGAUCUCCUUCAGUGGUGACGGGGGAAGUCCAGCGAAUUGUGCCUUGAGUAAAAUAGAGUGCUCCAAGCAGGCUGUGAUUAAUUUCAUCGCCCGCAUACUCCAGCAUGGAACGAAUGUUCAAUUGCUUAAACCACCCCGCUGGCCUAGUUUGUUGGUUCAACACCGUAUAACACUUGUGUUAUUCGGCUAGGUCGUGUCCGCAGGAAAGUGUACCCGGAGAACCGUCUAUAGUCAUUCGGUGGUACAUCUCCAGCUGGGAAUCAUGUCCUUCUGUGUGGGCCGUUGAAUGUUUGAAUCUGCUUCACACCAACAAUCUCCAUCUUUAAUGCUUGAUGUGUUUAUAUUCACUCUGUGCUUAUAUUCACCUCUCAGCAUCUUAAAUUUGUGUGUAUUGCCUUGGCUGUGUAAUCUUAUUCUCAUUCAUGGCCACAAAAACACACACCUGGGCACCCAGUAUUUGGUAGAUACCACUCGGCUAUAAAUGUGUGCUAUUUGAACUUUCUUUUCAUACCCUUGAUCGGUGUAUGUGAUUGACUGUUUUCAUCUAACAAUUUUGUCACCGGGAGCAAUGCACUC
Molecule: ribosomal RNA, 1348 nt
Filed under: Sphaerospora elegans
Lineage: Eukaryota; Metazoa; Cnidaria; Myxozoa; Bivalvulida; Sphaerosporidae
Description: 18S ribosomal RNA
Rfam family: Eukaryotic small subunit ribosomal RNA (bases 1-1038)
Source: RNAcentral